RNAcentral lists this long non-coding RNA (2075 nucleotides) under Homo sapiens (human). RNAcentral describes it as "HSALNT0170045". The record is from RNAcentral. Lineage: Eukaryota; Metazoa; Chordata; Mammalia; Primates; Hominidae.
ACUUUCAAAGUGCCGGGAUUCCAGGCGUGAACCACCACACUCGGAUGUUGCCUGCAUUUAGAAGUUGUGUUUAAGUGACCUUUCCUAGGAAAAUAUUUGGUAUUUUGAAUAGUCUAACCUAUCCCUUUAGGACUGAAAUACAACAUGUUUGAUGCUGAGGAAAAAAUUAAAAAUUUCUCAGUAAGACCAAACUAUAGGAUACACAGCUUAUCUCCCAGAAGUUUGAGUCUUUCCAAACACUCAGUGCUUUAUUGCACUAUGAAUAAAAUAAAGAUAUAUUUUAGGGGGAAAUAUUUUAAAUCCACAUUUAAGUAGAGACACUGAGCAUGAUAGAAUACUGUUCAAAUCCAAAGGCAACCAAAUCGAGGCACCAUUUUCCCAAACUGGAACAUUCAGACUUCUAUAGGGAGACACAGGCUCAUCUACCCAGCAUCCAGGGGAUCCAGGAAUCCUGGGAGGCACCUUCCUGCAGUUGUCGAAUCCACAUUCAAUGUGGGGACAGGAGCUGUAACCAAUGUCAUCGAAGCCCCUGGACAAUGGGUGCAGACGGAGGCGUUCAUACCACCCGAUCCCAAAGAGGAACGACACACACGGCCUUCCCAGCAGCCAUCAUCGCAGGCUGGGAUUUUCAAAUUUAGGAUUUGUAAAAGAUGAGAAAAGAAACAGCAUGAAGGUUAACAUAACAGAAGAUUUCGCUCUCUGUAAGCCGAUGUACAUCAUGUCGUCCUCAGUAAUGCAUACAUAGUAAGAGUCCUUAUUUAAAAGGAGACAUACGUUUUAAAAAUUAAAUUGAGAUGUAUUAUUUUCAUUAACCAAAUUCCCAGUCCCUUCAUACUAUACUUUGAAUUGGGACAAUUCUAUGCUCUGAAAAUCUGGGCAUUUCUGAGUCUUAAACAAUCAAAAAGCAAAGACAGGCCCCAGUGCCCACAUUUAAGUCAUUCUCUAGAUGCGGCUGAGCAAAAACUAGACAUGUGACUGCGCAUUUGUGAAUUUUAUGGGCUUUUUCUCUUUGAAUCUGGCAGUCAAAGUAGCCAUCCAGCCAAACAGAAGAUCUACAGGGAAAAGAGAUACAUGUGCAUAAGAACAGGAAGUCAGAAUAAAGCCAUUAAUAUCUGAAUCCGAUGCGCUGUGAGAUCGUUCUGUUACGCGACACUAGCGCUUUCCCGCCGCGGAGUCCCAUGGGGUCAGAGGCGUCGUGGCCUUCAGAGAUGCUCGGGCUGCCACCGGGGUUAGCCCUGGGAAAAAUUAAAGCACAGCAACCCUUUGCCCAUCAGAUCUGUCCAUGGAGAAGCAGUGCUGAGAGAGAGAGCCAGAGGCUGCAGGUGACAAGAUGGCCAGGGGCCCCAGGCGUCAGCGACUGACCAGAGGCCAUUGGUCUAUGGUGUCAGGGCAAAGGCUCAGGCUGGGGUGGAGAGGGAGAAUGGAGCAGAGGCUGAAGGCUGCCAGGAACAGCUAGCGGCAUGCCCGAAGGGAGUCCCUGCCCACGUUGGCCUGGGCUGGGCUGUAGGGAACCCACUAGCAGCGUUGGGUCACAAGGUGAAGAGGGGAGGAGCACUGUCUCUAGAGCUCCUGGUCCACUGAGACCACAGUCCUCUCCAAGUGCCCCCAUGUGGACCAGUGGGCAAGGAACUGGCACCCCACUAGAAGCACUGCCGUGGGCUUCUCACCCACACAGCAGGUCCAAGCAGCACUUCUAUGCCAUCCAAAAUGCUUCCCACGUGAAGUCCCCCGGAAUGGGGGGCUGCAGAGCAGCAGGGAGUUUCCUCAGCUCGGUUCACCAACUUCUAAUGUGUUGCCACAAUCGUGCAAUCAUUUGAAGAUAGGCAAGUCCCUUCAAUGUGUGUCACCCAAGGGCAAGACAGCCACUUGUUUUUAAAGGAAUAGACUUUCUGGGGUUGUAUCUCCAUGUAUCAGAUAGCCUAGCCGGUUGUUUCUCUUCACUUUCGGAGCACGUGGCUUUGGUUUCAGCGCAUGUUGUGGAGCUGCGAAUGGAGCUUUAUAAGAUGGGGUGCUCAGAGACUUGGGGAGCCUCCAGAUUUGCUCAUUGGUGCCACGAUCACACUUGCUCCAGCAGC